RNAcentral lists this ribosomal RNA (564 nucleotides) under uncultured fungus. Its description in RNAcentral is "eukaryotic LSU rRNA". The stretch from base 208 to 361 matches the Rfam family "5.8S ribosomal RNA". Lineage: Eukaryota; Fungi. The record is from RNAcentral.
CGUAACAAGGUCUCCGUAGGUGAACCUGCGGAGGGAUCAUUACACAAAUAUGAAGGCGGGCUGGAACCUCUCGGGGUUACAGCCUUGCUGAAUUAUUCACCCUUGUCUUUUGCGUACUUCUUGUUUCCUUGGUGGGUUCGCCCACCACUAGGACAAACAUAAACCUUUUGUAAUUGCAAUCAGCGUCAGUAACAAAUUAAUAAUUACAACUUUCAACAACGGAUCUCUUGGUUCUGGCAUCGAUGAAGAACGCAGCGAAAUGCGAUAAGUAGUGUGAAUUGCAGAAUUCAGUGAAUCAUCGAAUCUUUGAACGCACAUUGCGCCCUUUGGUAUUCCAAAGGGCAUGCCUGUUCGAGCGUCAUUUGUACCCUCAAGCUUUGCUUGGUGUUGGGCGUCUUGUCUCUAGCUUUGCUGGAGACUCGCCUUAAAGUAAUUGGCAGCCGGCCCACUGGUUUCGGAGCGCAGCACAAGUCGCACUCUCUAUCAGCAAAGGUCUAGCAUCCAUUAAGCCUUUUUUUCAACUUUUGACCUCGGAUCAGGUAGGGAUACCCGCUGAACUUAAGC